Molecule: ribosomal RNA, 2230 nt
Filed under: Triticum aestivum (bread wheat)
Lineage: Eukaryota; Viridiplantae; Streptophyta; Magnoliopsida; Poales; Poaceae
Description: partial small subunit ribosomal RNA
Source: RNAcentral
GCGGCCACCUCACACACACCGCGCGUACGUAGUCUACUUUUUUCACACUCGCUCCCCACCUGUCGUCGCUUCUUCCUCACCCGACGCCACUUUUGGAUCGGGGGCUAGGAAGGCGGGAGGGAACUUAGAAGAGGGGCGGGGCGUCGGCGGAGGGGCUCGAGAGAGGUUAGAGAGUAGAGGAGGGAAGGAGGAGCAGGUGCAUGCGCGAGCGGAGGCCGGUGGAGGCGCCGGUCGGGAGGAGAUAGAAGAAGAAGAGAGGUAGAGGUAGAGGAAGAGGAUAGGUAGAGGUAGAGGGAGAGGAGAGGAGAGAGGAGGUGCACGGGUUGUGGGCGCGCGAACGGAGGACGUGGUUGGCGUCGGCGAGGUAGCCCCGAGUCGGCCGCGCCCAACGGUACCCCUUCCUCGUUACACCGCGUGUGAAGUACUCCACAUCCUCUUCUGUACCCACUCGAGGUCGCGGUCCACUCCUUCCUCCCCAAAUGCCCGGCCUAGACCGCCCACUAUCCAACCUCGAGCUCGAGCUCUGACUCUGUCCCUUCCACUCCUCCUCCGCUCCCUCUCCGCUUCUACCGUCGCACCUACUUUCCUCUCUUCUCCAGCCACUGCGUCUACUUCCGCUCCUCGUCGGCCACCGUACCUAGUUCCCCCUCUCGUGGCAGCAGCAGCCACUACGUGUAUACCCUUUCUCCCUCCACUCUCGCGGCUAGGUCCUCCGCCGAACCGAGCCGGGUCGGUACCUCGACCGUAACCUCUGAGGGGCGACUGGAGGAACCGUUCUCUACAACACGGAUACAAGGACUUAAACAGAAACAUCACCAGCCCACGACGGUGUUUUGCACACUGAUAUCAUUCUACGUCAAGAGCUGUUAGCGAUAAUCUAGACUCUCUCUUCUCCUUGUCUUCCCGUGCCACCUUCUUAAACCACUUCUUGUUCUACCGAGCCUACGUAAGAAUAUACGAUGUAGGAGUACCAUAAGGAGUUAGAAAUCGGAACGGGUUGAGACCAGAAGGAGCCAAACCAUGAAGAGUCGGAUGUUAGGUUGGAUGGAAUGUGACCGGACUACUCAUCCGUUAAAUAAUAUGAGUGUUCGUGUAGUAAAUAACAUAGUAGGUCCAUCUCUACCGUAUAACCUCGUUCGUAGUACAGUCCAAAUCCCGUAUGUUUUGGAAAUCAUACAUCUUUAAAGCGGGGUAUCAAUGACAUGUGGCCGACCUCUCUUUAAUAACCUGUCUACGGGGUUAAUAUUCUUUCUUAUUAAAGUAUUUAGUCUCCCUCUAUACGAGAGUAUUUAACGAGUGGCAAACUUCCAAAUUAUGUAUAGCAGGACUACUUCGGCAAAAAGACAAACAUCAAAGGAUAUAGUUGUUGAGGGAUAUAAUGGGGCUUUACCUAAUAACGAAUAAAUAAAAAAGAAUAAGUGUGUAAAUAAAUCAAGUCUCCUUAUGGUCAGUAAAUGUUUGUGUUGACUACCGUUACAAGCGUACCUAAUCUUUCUUUUUUAUCACUACGGUUUUAUAUUAAACUAGUGUGGCGUAAUGUUACAACACCAAACGGUUUCUUGACUCGUUACCAAGUGUACCUAACGACUUUUAUAAUCAUUGUCUUACUGUUCACGUAGUAUUCUUGAUUUAUUAGACCUUGAAUAUAUAUAUAUAUAAAAUUUAAUACGUAAGUAACGACUUUUAUAACAAACUACAUACGUAGUGGAGAGAAGGUAAAUUGAUCUAAAGAUAUAGAAUAUGAUCCUACAGCUACGGCUACGAAGAGACCGACGAUGACUCCUACCGUCACUAGGAAAGUGGGUGGAUUUUAGUUUCUGCCCAACAAGAAGGGUAGCGAACAAAUAAAUACGAUACUUCAUUUGUCCAUGUUACUAGGAGAAAGCGAUUUGUACCCACAGACCUUGAAUUCCUUGUGAUCACCACCCUUUCGUCGACCUCCUUUGUUCUUUCGCGUCAUUGAUGAAAGGAUACCAUGAACAACGCACGAACAACGACUAACGUGUGGGAUACCACGAACUACGGCUAACGUUACCGUUGCGAAGUAGAGGCGUCCGCUAGGUUCGACACGAGCAGUAGAUGUGAUCACAAUUUUGAUAUAAGUCCGCACUGAUAUACGUACGGUAAACACAUUAUCUUAUAAAUAUCGUUUAUAGGUGAUAUUAAAUAAGAAAGCACAUCCGUGUACGGAAAAGAGAGAAAUUGUGUCAUGUAAUCAAUUCUUAAAAGU